UACGAGGGGGGCGAGCGUUGUUCGGAAUUAUUGGGCGUAAAGGGCGCGUAGGCGGUGCGGUAAGUCACCUGUGAAAUCUCCGGGCUCAACUCGGAGCCUGCAGGCGAAACUGCCGUGCUAGAGGGUGGGAGAGGUGCGUGGAAUUCCCGGUGUAGCGGUGAAAUGCGUAGAUAUCUGCAGGAACACCCGUGGCGAAAGCGGCGCGCUGGACCACAACUGACGCUGAGGAACGAAAGCUAGGGGAGCAAACAGG
Molecule: ribosomal RNA, 253 nt
Filed under: uncultured bacterium
Lineage: Bacteria
Description: partial 16S ribosomal RNA
Rfam family: Bacterial small subunit ribosomal RNA
Source: RNAcentral